CGUGAUGGUAUUUGGAGGUGGGCCUGUGGGAGGUCGUUAGGGUAAGAUGAGGUCAUAAGAAUGGAGCCUUCACAAUGGGAUUAGUGCCCUUGUAAGAAGAGACAGAGACCUUGCUUCCUCUCUCUCCACCAUAGCAGGACGCAGCAAGAAGAUGAGGGGUCCUCUCCAGGAACUGAAUCAUCCAGCACCUUGGUCUUUGGCUUCCCAGACUCCAGAACUGUGUGUGCUAUAAGCACGGGAACACUUAGCAGGUUGGCUGGAUUACCCACUCUGGUGAUGGCAAUAAGCCUCCUAAGGGACACCAUCCUUCAAAGCAACCGUCGUGGGUACCAUCAUGGCACAAGGCUGCCUAGGCGGUGAGACCCUCCUGAAACCCCUUAAAACUUCGGGCACCAGCCUAUGUAAAGCAGUAAUAUUGAAUCAAGUUGGAACCCAGUGAGGACUCACAGUGUAUGUCAUCACAAAGGCUCUGGCGUCAACCCCAAACACCUCAGUGGAAAUUUGGGACCAGACUCUGAGUCACUUCUGCCUCUCAAGACUUCUCUCUAAUUGUGAGCUCAAAGGUACUGUCACCUGGGAAGCAACUUGGGAAAAUACCUUGGAAAACUGGCAUUUGCACAUCUUGUGGCGUCCUGGUAACGGCAACUGGUUUCCUGCUGGGAAAAUGGAUGUGUAUAUUUACACAUAUAAACGUGUCUAGACAUAUGUGCAUGAUGUAUGUGCAUCUAUACAGACACACACAUAGAAGUUUAUCUAAACCUGAUUAAUAUAAACGGCAUGGAGUACGCUAUUUACAAAUCAUAAAAAAACAUAAUAUUUUGGUUUUCAUAGAACAGUUUCAUUGAUUUUUUAAAACAAACUCUUACAUCACCAGUCUAUGAAUGCAAGUCAACCACGACUUCACAAAUGGGACUGCGUCCCAGUCCACC
This is a long non-coding RNA of Ailuropoda melanoleuca (giant panda), 929 nucleotides long. RefSeq lists it as uncharacterized. The record is from RefSeq and is a predicted model, not a curated record. NCBI's taxonomy places the organism in Eukaryota, Metazoa, Chordata, Mammalia, Carnivora, Ursidae. The transcript has 3 exons.